UACAGAGGGUGCAAGCGUUGUUCGGAAUUAUUGGGCGUAAAGCGCGUGUAGGCGGCUUAGCAAGUCGGGCGUGAGAGCCCUCGGCUCAACCGAGGAAGUGCACCCGAAACUGCUGAGCUUGAGUACCGGAGAGGAUGGCGGAAUACCCCAAGUAGAGGUGAAAUUCGUAGAUAUGGGGUGGAACACCGGUGGCGAAGGCGGCCAUCUGGACGGUAACUGACGCUGAGACGCGAAAGCGUGGGGAGCAAACAGG
Molecule: ribosomal RNA, 253 nt
Filed under: uncultured bacterium
Lineage: Bacteria
Description: partial 16S ribosomal RNA
Rfam family: Bacterial small subunit ribosomal RNA
Source: RNAcentral